GAGUUUGAUCCUGGCUCAGGAUGAACGCUGGCGGCGUGCCUAAUACAUGCAAGUAGAACGCUGAAGCUUGGUGCUUGCACCGAGCGGAUGAGUUGCGAACGGGUGAGUAACGCGUAGGUAACCUGCCUCUUAGCGGGGGAUAACAGUCAGAAAUGACUGCUAAUACCGCAUAAGCGCACAGAGCUGCAUGGCUCGGUGUGAAAAACUCCGGUGGUAUAAGAUGGACCCGCGUUGGAUUAGCUAGUUGGUGAGGUAACGGCCCACCAAGGCGACGAUCCAUAGCCGGCCUGAGAGGGUGAACGGCCACAUUGGGACUGAGACACGGCCCAGACUCCUACGGGAGGCAGCAGUGGGGAAUAUUGCACAAUGGAGGAAACUCUGAUGCAGCGACGCCGCGUGAAGGAUGAAGUAUUUCGGUAUGUAAACUUCUAUCAGCAGGGAAGAAGAUGACGGUACCUGACUAAGAAGCCCCGGCUAACUACGUGCCAGCCGCCGCGGUAAUAC
This 504-nucleotide ribosomal RNA is filed under the name uncultured bacterium. RNAcentral's name for it is "bacterial SSU rRNA". It matches the Rfam family "Bacterial small subunit ribosomal RNA", at positions 9 to 526 of the family's 1533-position model. The record is from RNAcentral.